AAGGGAGUCUGUGUCCUAGGGAAGCAAGCACAGGCCUAUCUAUGCAGUGGGCACACGGCCCAGUUUUGCAGGACCUGGGUGAUCACCCAAGGAGUGAAAAUGGCCUUUUUAUGAGAAAUUGCCAAAAUUGAUGCAAGCUCAUCAGUCGAAAAGGUAGAAAUAUCGUUUGACUUCUGUUUUGCUGACAAGAAAUGUGGUCCUGACAAGGCUACCUGGGACAAUGACCUCACACA
This is a long non-coding RNA of Nomascus leucogenys (northern white-cheeked gibbon), 233 nucleotides long. RefSeq lists it as uncharacterized. The record is from RefSeq and is a predicted model, not a curated record. Lineage: Eukaryota; Metazoa; Chordata; Mammalia; Primates; Hylobatidae. The transcript has 3 exons.